UACGUAGGGUGCAAGCGUUAAUCGGAAUUACUGGGCGUAAAGCGUGCGCAGGCGGUGAUGUAAGACAGAUGUGAAAUCCCCGGGCUCAACCUGGGAACUGCAUUUGUGACUGCAUCGCUGGAGUGCGGCAGAGGGGGAUGGAAUUCCGCGUGUAGCAGUGAAAUGCGUAGAUAUGCGGAGGAACACCGAUGGCGAAGGCAAUCCCCUGGGCCUGCACUGACGCUGAGGAGCGAAAGCGUGGGGAGCGAACAGG
RNAcentral lists this ribosomal RNA (253 nucleotides) under uncultured bacterium. RNAcentral's name for it is "partial 16S ribosomal RNA". It matches the Rfam family "Bacterial small subunit ribosomal RNA", at positions 524 to 776 of the family's 1533-position model. The record is from RNAcentral.